UGAAUACGAGACGCUAAGGCGUCGAAGUAGUGUAUGUCAUACUUCCAAGAAAAGCUUGCACUGUCAUAGAUAAAAAACGCCUGUACCAUAACCGACACAGGUGGGUAGGUAGAGUAUACUAAGGGGCGCGAGAUAACUCUCUCUAAGGAACUCGGCAAAAUAACUCCGUAACUUCGGGAGAAGGAGUGCCUUAUUCGUAAGGUUGCAAUAACAAGAUCCAAGCAACUGUUUAUCAAAAACACAGGUCUCCGCUAAGUCGUAAGACGAUGUAUGGGGGCUGACGCCUGCCCAGUGCCAGAAGGUUAAAGAAGUUGGUUAGCAAUUGCGAAGCUGAUAACUGAAGCCCUGGUGAACGGCGGCCGUAACUAUAACGGUCCUAAGGUAGCGAAAUUCCUUGUCGGGUAAGUUCCGACCCGCACGAAAGGCGUAAUGAUUUGGAUACUGUCUCGGAGAGGGGCUCGGUGAAAUAGACUUGUCUGUGAAGAUGCGGACUACCUGCACCAGGACAGAAAGACCCUAUGAAGCUUUACUGUAACUUGAAAUUGAAAUUGGACUUUAUUCGCGCAGUAUAGGUGGGAGGCGUUGAUUAUAAUCUUGUGGGAUUAUUGGAGCCAUCAGUGAGAUACCACUCUUGUAUGUUAGAUUUCUAACUUUGAAUCAUUAUCUGGUCAAAGAACAGUUUCAGGCGGGCAGUUUGACUGGGGCGGUCGCCUCCUAAACGGUAACGGAGGCGUACAAAGGUUUCCUCUGAACGGUUAGAAAUCGUAUCUAGAGUGUAAAGGCAUAAGGAAGCUUGACUGUGAGACCUACAAGUCGAGCAGGGACGAAAGUCGGUCUUAGUGAUCUGACGGUACUGAGUGGAAAGGCCGUCACUCAACGGAUAAAAGUUACUCUAGGAUAACAGGCUGAUCUCCCCCAAGAGUUCACAUCGACGGGGAGGUUUGGCACCUCGAUGUCGGCUCAUCGCAUCCUGGGGCGGUAGUACGUCCCAAGGGUUGGGCUGUUCGCCCAUGAAAGCGGUACGCGAGCUGGGUUCAGAACGUCGUGAGACAGUUCGGUCCAUAUCCGGUGUAGGCGUUAGAAUAUUGAGAGGAGCCUUCUUUAGUACGAGAGGACCGAGAAGGACAUACCUCUGGUGUACCAGUUAUCGUGCCAACGGUAAACGCUGGGUAGCUAUGUAUGGAGUGGAUAACCGCUGAAAGCAUCUAAGUGGGAAGCCCACCUCAAGAUAAGUAUUCUC
Molecule: ribosomal RNA, 1240 nt
Filed under: metagenome
Description: bacterial LSU rRNA
Rfam family: Bacterial large subunit ribosomal RNA
Source: RNAcentral